Molecule: RNA transcript, 6213 nt
Organism: Triticum aestivum (bread wheat)
Lineage: Eukaryota; Viridiplantae; Streptophyta; Magnoliopsida; Poales; Poaceae
Gene name: pyruvate kinase 1, cytosolic
Exons: 16
Source: RefSeq, a predicted model, not a curated record
GCUCGUUCUCACUCGAAUUCGUCCGUCGUUUAGAGUAGAUAGAAGAAUCGCUUCUGAUUUGUUCGAUUCUGCUCGUCCUCAGUUCCUCUGUUCUGAACCGCGCCUGAUUCAGUUGAUUUCGCUCGUCCUCGAUUCGACCGUUUAGAUAGAAAUGCGCGUCCGGUUUGACUUGCUCGUCCUCGCCGUCGUCGUCAGUUCAGAGUCGCGUGUGAUUUGAUUCUUGCCAGUCCUCGCCGUUGCCCUGAUGCUCUCGCGUGUUCUUGGGGAUGUCUCGUCGGGGGUCCGCGACUCUGGGAGGAAGCGAGCGGUCCGUCGGUCGGUUUGGGUCACCGUCUUGUUUGCGAGCUAACCAGUCUAUUCGAGAAACUUGUUCGUGCGCUGAUGUUAUCUGACGAUCCUGCGUUUCAUUUUCGUGGUCGAGCGAUGGUUCCUGCGUUUCUGUUUGAGAACCUUGCGCGUGCGCGUCUGUUACCUGACGAUCCUGCAUUUCGUGCUAGCGGUGGAGCGAUGCUUCUUGCGUUUCUGUUUGAGAGACUUGUGCGUGCGCUUCUAUUAUCUUAUGAUCCUGCCUACGUUGUUCGUCGGUUAUUUUCAUAUCUCAAACGCAUGCGCCCUUGUGAUACUCUGGUUUCCCUCUGUCCAUUCUUGUUCUACCGGCAGGCGUGUGUGCUCCCGUCCUAGAUGCAGAGAAUCUUCUUCUUGUCUCUUAUGCUUGUUCUUGCUAUCAUGCUUUGCUUAUGUUCCAAUAUAUGAUGAUGAUGAGGCGUGUUCAACUUGUUUCUUGUUAUCAUGCUUUGCUUAUGUUUCAAUAUAUGAUGAUUCGUGUUCAAGGGCGCAAACCAUGUAGGCCGUGGGUACUGUGAUGUGAGGCUUCUUUCCUGUUGAUAAAUUAGGAUGAUAGGAUGAGAAGAAAAGCCUGACUCUUGUAACAAUCACUUGCUUGGUUUCCACUUCUUUGUGUGGCCGAUUUGGCAUCCAAUGCAUCAUAAUCACAUUUUCCCUGCUUGUUUUCAUAUCCAAUGCAUCCACUCAUCAGAGCACCCUUUUCCCUAUUUGUUUUCACUUCUUUUCCUAAUAAUUAAUCAUGUUUACCAAUACUACAUUUCUACUGCUCUUUGUUCCCUUUUGAAGUUCACUGAUUCAAAUCUGAUGUGACUUCUGUGUUAGUAUACUAGCCAUGAUGUGUUUUAUUCAAGUUAUUAACCUACAAAUUUGGCUUGAGAUGCUACAUGUUUAUAUGGCACGAUUGAUUGUUGUUUGCGUAUGGUUAUUAUGAUUGAUUGAAUGAUUGCUAUUUGUUGAUUGAUUGAUGUUUGCUGUUUGUUGAUUGAUUGCUUGAUUGCUUGAUUGCUUGUUGUUUGUUGAUUGCUAUCAAACUUUGGUAUUUGUAGUUCCUGAUCUUAGGUAACAGACCUUGCACUAUUCUUUUUUCUGAACUUUUUUGUGAUUAUGCAAUGCUUUUCUAAGUAUUUAAGGUACAAACAUGUUGAUAUGGACACAUCCCAUUUGCUCUUUAUUGUGUUGCUAAGGACACUGAUGGGUUGAGUUGGCAUAUAGUGCAGGUAUAUUUACAUUCUGUACAUUUUGUGAUGCUGAUGCCUGUAGUCCCAAAGUGUUUAUUUACCCAAAUUUUGCUACUGGAACUUUUGGUUUUAGAUAUUGGCACCUGAUAUUUGAAUGGAUGUUUUCAUGAUGCCUAAUUUGAUUCAUUAUCGUUGUUCUGAUGGUGUGCUACUGGUGUUUUAACUGAAGCCGUGGAUCGCUCAUCAACCUGCUGAGCUCUUUCUGGAUAGGACAGAGGUACAAUAUUUACAUCCAUGGCAGAAGGUUCUUAACCCUGAACUCAUCAAAGGUCCUUGGACUCAAGAGGAAGAUGACAAAAUUAUUGAUCUUGUAAGAAAGUAUGGACCAACAAAAUGGUCUCAUUGCAAGGACCUGCAGAAGGACCCUCCCACCUCAGUGCAGGAAGGUCCUGUAGGUGAGGACAUGUUCCACUGGCAGGCCAGUAUCAUGGGACCCUUGGACAGCCCGUUUACUGGUGGCCUAUUUUUGGUGAACAUCCAUUUCCCACUGGAUUAUCCCUUCAAGCCCCCGAAGACAUGAACAUAUUUCAAGUCUCUUUCCGCACCAAGGUGUUCCACUUCCACUUCCACCCAAACAUUAACAGCAAUGGCAACAUUUGCCUUGACAUUCUCAAGGAACAGUAGAGCCCGACUUUGACCAUAUCAAAGGUCCUCCUGUCAAUCUAUUUGUUGCUGACGGACCCCAACCCCAAUGAUCCUCUGGUGCCUGAGAUUGCUCACAUGUACAAGACUGAUUGGGCCAAGUAUGAGUCCACGGCAUGCUCCUCGACACAGAAGUACGCCAUGGGUGGAUGUAUAGGCAAGCAAUGUCGAGAGAGUUCUUCUUAGCUAUAGCUAAAGUCAAAGACGACAAACCAGGUGACUUAUUGGAGUUGCAGGACUAUAAAUCAUCGGUCAUAUGAAUCUUCAUUUGUAAAUAUGACUGCUGGUGCUGCCGAUGAUGCUAGCCAUCGGCUUGGAACUAAUGAGAGACAACCGCUGUUGCCAACUUGAAACAUAUACUUUUUAGGUAUGAAUGGCUUACCUCUCCUCCUCUCGCGUCUGGUGAAGCAAUUCAUCCUCGGUUCGUGCCUCUCCUCCUCUCGCGUCUGGUGAGGCAAUUCGUCCCCGAUUCCCUCUCCUCUCGCCUCUGAUUCGUCCAUUUAGAUUAGAAGAAUCGCAUAUGAUUUGUCAUUUUGCUCGUUCUCGAUUCAUCUGCCUUGAAGUGCGUCUAAUUCGACUGAUUUUGCUCGUCCUAGAUUCACUCGUUUAGAUAGAAAAUCACGUUUGGUUUGAUUUACUCGUCCUCCUCGUCACUUUAGAGUCGCUUGUGAUAUGAUUUUGCUUGUCCUCGCUGUCGCCCUGAUGCUCUCGCGUGUUCUUGGGGCCGUCUCGUCUGGGGUCUCUGUCCCUACGACUCUGGGAGGAAGCGGGUGAGCAAGCGAGCGGUCGGUCGGUCUGGUUUGUGAACUAAAGUCUGUUUGAGAAACUUCUGUUCCUGCGUUUCGUGUUCACGGUGGAGCGAUAUUUCCCGUGUUUACUUGUGCAUGCGCUUCUGUUAUCUAACGAUCAUGCGUUUCGUGUUCACGGUGGAGCGAUAUUUCCUGCGUUUACUUGUGCACGCGCUUCUGUUAUCUAUCGAUCCUGUGUUUUGUGUUCGUGUCAGGGCGACGGUUGCAGGAACGAUGGGUUCUUGGUUCGGAAAUUGGAGCAGUGUCAAAUCGUUCCCUCUAUUCCACCACAUGCGUUGUUCGUCGAUUAUUUUCAUAUCUCAAACGCAUGUGCUUGAUACUCUGGUUGCCCUUUGUCGAUCCUUGUUUUACCGACAGGCGUGUGUGCUCCCAUCCUAGAUGUAGAGAAUCCUGUUCUUGCCUGUUACAGUUGUUCUGAUGCUGUUCUUUUCAAUUGUUUAUUGUUAUCAUGGUUUGCUUAUGUUCCCAUAUGGCACGAUUGAUUGAUUGUUGUUUGUUGUUUGAUUGAUUGGCUUGAGAUGGAUUGUUGUUUAUUGUUUGAUUGAUUGGCUUGAGAUGGAUUGUUGUUUGUUGUUUGAUUGAUUGCCUUGAGAUGGAUUGUUGUUUGUUGUUUGAUUGAUUGCCUUGAGAUGGAUUAUUGUUUGCUGUUUGAUUGAUUGCCUUGAGAAGGUACAAACCAUGUAUGCCGAUUGAUUGUUGUUUGUUGCCUUGAGAUAUUACAUGUUUACAUGACACGAUUGGUUGUUGUUUGUUCAUGGUUAUUACAAUUGAUUGAUUGUUGUUUGUUGAUUGGAAUCUAAUUUUGGUAUUGGUAGUAGGUAACAGACCUGGCGCUAUUAUUUUUCUGAACUUUUUUGUGAUUAUUAUGCCUUCACAUUACACUGCUCCCAGAUUCAUAUCGACAUGCCCACGCUGUCUGACGAGGAUAAAGAUGUUAUGAAAAAAUGGGAUGCUCCAAACAAGAUUGACUUCCUAUCUUUCUUAUACAAGGCAUGCAGAAGAUGUGUGGCAAUGUUCUUAUUUCAGAAGUUUGCUCUGCACAAGUGCAACAUGGCUGGAAAACCUGCUGCUGUUACUUGUGUUGUGGACAGUAUGACGGACAACCUAAGGCCUACUCGUGCAGAUGCAACUGAUGUGGCAAAUGCAGUGCUGGAUGUGAUGCCAUUCUCCUUGGUGCCGAGACUCUCCGUGGGUUGUAUCCAGUUGGGAUUUAAACGGCUGAGAAUGUCUUCAACCAGGAUUUGUACUUCAAGCGAACCAUGAAAUACGUGGGAGAACCCAUGACCCACAUGGAGUCUAUUGCUUCCUCUGAAGUGCAGGCUUCUAUCAAAGUUAAGACUUCGGUCAUCAUUUUCUUCACCUCAUCUGGACAGGAGAAAAAGAGUAUUUCUUCUUAUAGGCGCCUCACCUCAUCUUUGUAGUUUAAUGGAAAUUGAUUGAUAUAUUAUGCUGUAUCGAGUAUCUGCAGGCCAAUUGCCAAGUACAGGCCCACCAUGCCAUUCCUCGUCUAAAAACAAAUCAAUUGAAGUGGAGCUUCACAGGGGCAUUUGAAGCAAGACAAUCACUCAUAGUUAGAGGCCUCUUUCCCAUGCUUGCUGAUCCACGUCACCUGGAACGAAGAUCUGGAUCACCCUCGCCCCUCUAGAGAAAUCAGUUUACUCAUUCAAGUUCUGGAAAUUUUUUGUAGCCUUUUGAGUUUACUUCGGUCUUGCAUGUAUUAGCUUUCUGUUUGUGCCCCUAUUUAUGUAUGUUUCUUGUGUGCAAGUGCUCCGUUCUGUGUGUGUGUGACUUGUGUGUGGCUUGACUCUGUGUGUGUGGCUUGACUUUGUGUGUGUGGCUUGACUGUGUGUGUGUGUGGCCUGACUGUGUGUGUGACUCUGUGUGGCUUGACUAUGUGUGUGUGACUCUGUGUGGCUUGACUAUGUGUGUGUGAUUCUGUGUGUGCUUGAUUCUCUGCUUGUGUGACUCUGUGUGAAUGUUGCAUUUGUUUGAUGGUGUGGCCUGUAUGCUUGAUUGAUGAUUGGUGUGGUUAACACUGCCUUUGCCGGUCCCAAGCCCGGAUGUGAAAAUGUGGAGGGAGCUGCAUUUACCUCCUUUGUAUUUUAUAUAUAUUCACCUUCUAACAUUUGUGGCUGAUGGCAUUCUAGUUUACUUAGACGGUUAGCUUGUUAAUUAGUUUUGUGCAUGCAAGACUUGAAAUCUAGCUGAUGUUACUUUCUGUGCAUGAUAAAUUGUUUUGUUGUGCACCUUUUAAAAGAUGUGGUCCGUCUUCCCCUCUAUUUCCUCUUUUGGAUGUUAAAUAGCAUUUGCUAUGUUUCUGAAUUGAUUAUCUGUUGUAAGAUAUGGUUAGCAUAUAUAGUUCAGAGAUAAAUGUCUUUGUUUGCAGCAGUACAUUUUAUUCAUUUCAAUGGUGAUUUUACUACAGUUUUUUGUGUGUUGGAACUCUUGCGGAAGUUCUCUGUACCCCAGUACCAAUGUAUAUCUAUUUCAGUGUCAUUUUGUACUAUAACAUCACAGAAACCGGUGGUAUAUUUGAGAUGAGUGAUGUGAUUAGAUUGUACCAGACAUGCGACUGUAGGAGCUUAGUGUAUGAGUAUGUGCCCCGUGACCGCAAUUAUCUAGUUACUUUAACAGGACUAGCUAGUUACUUUUGAACAAUCAGGUAGUUUACAAUAUGCAGUUUUACUUGUAUUCAGGAAUGGAGCUUCUUCACUUCCUAGAUGCAGCAGGUUGUCCAUGUUGUGUGUUCAAUUUCUUUGAUUCACCUUUAUUUUCAUUUCAGCAGGUUGUCCAUGUUGUGUGUUCCGUAUGGAUUAGAUGCCGUCUGACUAGUUUGUCUUCGAUGUCGCAGCCCCUCAUUGGGUCUUUAGUACUUCUUUUGUGUGUUCAAUUUUUAAUCCCCAUUACGUGUGAUGCUCUUUGUUUAUGUGUAAUUUGAACCUCUGGUUGUGCUCUUGUGAGUUGUGAGCGGUGUCUCUGCUCGUGUGGGCACACAUGAUUUGAACCGCGAUUCUGCUAGUGAGGUAAGCAUAAUUUCAGCGGUGUUUCCAUGGGAUUUUGAACUAUGUCUGUGUUACGAUCUUGUGAAAACAUUGCGUGAAUAUUUAUUGCCAAUUGUGUGUCAUGCUAAUACUGCCUUUGGUUGAUUGUGUGGCUUGUUGCUUAGCUGAAUGAUUGGU